GUCCUUUUUUGGUUCAUAAACAUGAUGACUGGUGUUCACACUAUUAUGAUGUGUCCAUACUUCAAACUUGUUACAAUGCUGGCAUAUUACUAUGUUGCUAUGACC
Molecule: small nucleolar RNA, 105 nt
Organism: Acomys russatus (golden spiny mouse)
Lineage: Eukaryota; Metazoa; Chordata; Mammalia; Rodentia; Muridae
Product: small nucleolar RNA U13
Exons: 1
Source: RefSeq, a predicted model, not a curated record